Molecule: long non-coding RNA, 486 nt
Organism: Oncorhynchus gorbuscha (pink salmon)
Lineage: Eukaryota; Metazoa; Chordata; Actinopteri; Salmoniformes; Salmonidae
Exons: 3
Source: RefSeq, a predicted model, not a curated record
UGACGCUGUUGCACAUUUCGUAGUUGGGAACAGGAAGUUCCGGGUAGAAAACCACAGGACUGUGUUGUUAUGUCGAUAGUGGUUGUGUCCGUUUCAAAUGUAUUAUUGUAGACCGACUCAGAUUAAGUCUGAGGCCAGUAAUAUCAACAGUGAGGACAAACCCAGCCUGCCACUCUCCUUCCACACUGAGUAGAAACCUACAGUCACUGGGUCCUGAUUGUGACAGUGGAGCCCAGUUUGCCUUGCAGGAUCCAGAGAUGGCAUCAGUGAAUCUGGAAGACUGCAGUCAAAUACUGGAGCUGAAUGUCAACAUUAAAGAUGAAGAAGAGGAGGAGAAGAUUAGGACAAUUGUUAGUCAUGGAGACCAUGUUGAGACAUUCUCAACAUCCAGAGAGCAACAGCAGGAAGAUCAGAGAGCUAAGAGGUCUCAUCACUGCCCACAUUGUGAAGAGAUUUUCCCAUUUCUAUCAAAGCUAAAAACACACC